This 476-nucleotide ribosomal RNA is filed under the name uncultured bacterium. RNAcentral's name for it is "partial 16S ribosomal RNA". It matches the Rfam family "Bacterial small subunit ribosomal RNA", at positions 29 to 507 of the family's 1533-position model. The record is from RNAcentral.
AUGAACGCUGGCGGCGUGCCUAACACCUGCAAGUCGAACGAAGCACCUUACCUGAUUCUUCGGAUGAACGUUUGGUGACUGAGUGGCGGACGGGUGAGUAACGCGUGGGUAACCUGCCCUGUACAGGGGUAUAACAGCUGGAAACUGCUGCUAAUACCGCAUAAGCGCACGAGGAGACAUCUCCUUGUGUGAAAAAAUCCGGUGGUACAGGAUGGGCCCGCCUCUGAUUAGCUGGUUGGCAGGGUAACGGCCUACCACGGCCACGAUCAGUAGCCGGGCUAGGAGGAUGAGCUGGCACAUUGGAAAGGAGACACGGUCCAAACCCCUACGGGAGGCAGCAGUGGGGAAUAUUGCAAAAUGGGGGAAACCCUGAUGCAGCAACGCCGCGUGAGUGAAGAAGUAAUUCGGUAUGUAAAGCUCUAUAAGCAGGGAAGAUAAUGACGGUACCUAACUAAGAAGCUACGGCUAAAUACGUG